This 186-nucleotide long non-coding RNA is filed under the name Fukomys damarensis (Damara mole-rat). RNAcentral describes it as "lncRNA (ENSFDAG00000032839.1)". The record is from RNAcentral. Lineage: Eukaryota; Metazoa; Chordata; Mammalia; Rodentia; Bathyergidae.
CAAACUUUGGUUUCUUUCCUGAGUGGAUCAGGAGACCACAUCACUGCAGUCUUCCUGAGUGACAACCCCCUAAUCUCUCCCCACAAAGCUAUUUUACCAGCUGAGUGGCAACUCUACAGGAGCGUUAGACCAUAGAUGGAUUGGGGAUGAUAUGAAGAUUGAGCCUUGAUGACCAUAGCAGUGACC